This 320-nucleotide ribosomal RNA is filed under the name uncultured eukaryote. Its description in RNAcentral is "partial 18S ribosomal RNA". It matches the Rfam family "Eukaryotic small subunit ribosomal RNA", at positions 1470 to 1796 of the family's 1831-position model. The record is from RNAcentral.
CCCUUAGAUGUUCUGGGCCGCACGCGCGCUACACUGAUGCGUUCAACAAGUCUUAACCUUGGCCGAUAGGUCUGGGUAAUCUUUGAACGCUGUUCGUGAUUGGGAUAGACCUUUGCAAUUAUGGGUCUUCAACGAGGAAUUCCUAGUAAACGCAAGUCAUCAGCUUGCAUUGAUUACGUCCCUGCCCUUUGUACACACCGCCCGUCGCACCUACCGAUUGAAUGGUCCGGUGAAAUCUCGGGACGGCGGCUUGGUCGCUUGCGUCCGACUGCUGAAACUUGAUUAAACCAUAUCAUUUAGAGGAAGGUGAAGUCGUAACA